RNAcentral lists this ribosomal RNA (385 nucleotides) under uncultured bacterium. RNAcentral describes it as "bacterial SSU rRNA". It matches the Rfam family "Bacterial small subunit ribosomal RNA", at positions 28 to 417 of the family's 1533-position model. The record is from RNAcentral.
GACGAACGCUGGCGGCGUGCUUAACACAUGCAAGUCGAGCGGUAAGGCCCUUCGGGUACGACGAGCGGCGAACGGGUGAGUAACACGUGGGUGACCUGCCCUUAGCUCUGGGAUAAGCCUGGGAAACUGGGUCCAAUACCGGAUAUGACCUCAUGACGCAUGUUGUGGGGUGGAAAGCCUUGUGCGGCUAGGGAUGGGCCCGCGGCCUAUCAGCUUGUUGGUGGGGUGAUGGCCACCAAGGCGACGACGGGUAGCCGGCCUGAGAGGGCGACCGGCCACACUGGGACUGAGACACGGCCCAGACUCCUACGGGAGGCAGCAGUGGGGAAUCUUGCGCAAUGGGCGAAAGCCUGACGCAGCGACGCCGCGUGAGGGAUGACGGCCU